Non-coding RNA from Tetranychus urticae (two-spotted spider mite), 299 nucleotides. The record is from RefSeq and is a predicted model, not a curated record. Lineage: Eukaryota; Metazoa; Arthropoda; Arachnida; Trombidiformes; Tetranychidae.
AUAAGUUAACAAUGAAACUGCACAAACUUUUCACCAAGAAUAGACUUACGAUGCGCACAGCAAACAAGGUUUUGGAAAUAAUGGAUCGAGCUGCUGGACCAUACAAUGGAUUGAAAAUUGGGGACUUUGUGACUCUUGAGAAAAGUUUUGGCAUAACGUUUAUCUUAGAAAACAUAUCAACUUUAAUGCUAUUUAUUUGCAACAUUGGACCUUUGAUAUAUGCUGCGAAUCUGUCUAAUCAAAAUUAACCAUUCUUACGCGUACAAAAGGCGGAACAAUCACUCAUUCUGAUAAUGACU